CUAGCCUAGGGGCAAGACAGAUACAGCGAGAGUAACUCUGUUAUCGAAGUGUUGCUCAGAAUUCCUCUGGAUAGCUCUGGAUCACUCUGGUUUGCCCGAAGGGUUGCCUGAUAGCUGUGAAAAAUCGAGCAGUCUUGUCCGAUUUCUCGCUUCGUAUCGACGUUUCUGAAUGGAUUCGAGCGAAAAUAGUUACUCAGGAUUGCUCAGAGUUGCUCCGGAUUGCACAGUGUCUCGCCCCUAGAUUCUAGCUUUGAUUGACAAAUAUUAACACAUUAAACUGUAUUUAUUAUAUCUCGACAAUUUAGUCAUUAUAUCCGUAAUAAUUAGCGAAAAAGCCGUAACCAACAAAAUGUACACAAUUUGAGUAAUUGCAGGAGUGAAAAGUAGCUAGAUUUGUCUUCUAAAUGCUCACAAAGUUUCCUUGAUAUCACUUUUCUAACUAUUGAAAAUCACUGAUUGAGUGAAAGGCGUAAUCCCAUUCUAUUCCAAACGAACAAAAACAAGAAUUACGCCUUCUACUCCUUUGUUUUGUUUGGUGUUUUGUUUACGAAAGUGAAAGGCGAAACUGAAAUCAACACGUAAACACGGCGAUAGUAGAAGGCGAAACUGAAAUCAAAACGUAAACACGGCGAAAGCAAAUGGCGAAAUUCUGUCAAAAUCAUAAACAAGGCGAAUAGUAAAAGGCGAUUCUGAAAAUGAUAUCGAUUCGAGGCGCAUAGUAUUGGGCGAAAUUAGCUUUCUCAGGUAUCAAUUCAGGCGUAAUUAAAUGAAUGCAAGUUUUAGUGCAAAAAAUAUCAAAUUCGUGCAGUGUUCUUAGAAAAACAAGAAACUAUGUCAGAACUGUAUCAAUUAACCUUAUUUAAGUUAAAUUAUUCUGUAUUACUUCUAAAUAGGAAUUAAAAUUUGAUCAGCAAAAUUCGGUUGUUGUUUUCGCAUUGUUAUUGCUUUGUUAGUUACGCCCUAUUCGCGAAUUACUCCCGAUAUGUCCAACAUCCAUAUAAAAUGGAGAGAAAUGUUCAAGAAAUGACACUCGAAGCUUUCCAUAAUGCAUGAGUGAAUUCCAGGGGGUGAGAAACUCGGCACACUUCAUUUUGUGCCAAUGUGCCGGCGAUGUGCCGAAGUGUGCCGCCGUACUGGCAGUCAUGCUGUCAGUUGACUUGAAACUUUUUAUAUAACUGGCAACUACGCGUUUGUUUUGGUUUUCGUUUUGUGUUCCAUAAAUGUUUUGUGAUGCGGCCUGUAUCCAUUUUGUGGCUGAGAAAAUGAUGGUGGAUGCCAGUGGAUUCCGUACGUGAUUCCGUACCAGAGUCCUUCAUAAUUGCCCAGAACUCGCGGCUAGAAUCUAUACGGAAAACUUACGAUGCGGAAAGUUGGCCUUCGUCGUGAACCGGAAAGCUUUUCUGGGAAACCAGUUUCAUAACCACCGCUGCUGUCUUGGGUGCUACCGGCUUUCAGGAAGAUUCAAAUACCAUACCAAGAACAGCGACAUCGCAGUCAACCAUCCCCCAAACCAAAGAACUAGGUACAUAAAUUUGCACCGCACGCAGUCACCGACCGCAUCCUGAAGCAAUAACUGAUGUUCCUGAAACGCUCCGGCUGCAGCUAUUGUUUCGAAGAGAGACUAACGACCAACCAUCCCAGUAGUACCUAUAUGGCUCGCACAACCAACUGGCCCACCUGAAGUACCAGCUAAACUACUACCUGAUCUGGAUUUAUGGAAUCGCUGCCGAUAAACGGAUCAAUGUGACCUUCCGGGGAAGGAAUUCACUCAUGCAUUAUGGAAAGCUUCGAGUGUCAUUUCUUGAACAUUUCUCUCCAUUUUAUAUGGAUGUUGGACAUAUAAUGACUAAAUUGUCGAGAUAUAAUAAAUACAGUUUAAUGUGUUAAUAUUUGUCAAUCAAAGAGUAUUACUUUUAUUAUAUAAUAAGCAAUAAAGCAUGUGAAUAUUGCAUACAAAUUA
This is a long non-coding RNA of Aedes albopictus (Asian tiger mosquito), 1960 nucleotides long. RefSeq lists it as uncharacterized. The record is from RefSeq and is a predicted model, not a curated record. The transcript has 2 exons. NCBI's taxonomy places the organism in Eukaryota, Metazoa, Arthropoda, Insecta, Diptera, Culicidae.